This 466-nucleotide ribosomal RNA is filed under the name uncultured bacterium. RNAcentral's name for it is "bacterial SSU rRNA". It matches the Rfam family "Bacterial small subunit ribosomal RNA", at positions 338 to 795 of the family's 1533-position model. The record is from RNAcentral.
CCUANGGGGGGCAGCAGUGAGGAAUUUUGCGCAAUGGGGGAAACCCUGACGCAGCAACGCCGCGUGAGUGAUGAAGGCCUUCGGGUCGUAAAACUCUGUCAAGUGGGAAGAACUUGCAUAAAAGCAACACAUUUAUGCACUGACGGUACCACUGAAGGAAGCACCGGCUAACUCCGUGCCAGCAGCCGCGGUAAUACGGGGGGUGCAAGCGUUAUUCGGAAUUAUUGGGCGUAAAGAGCGCGUAGGCGGUUUUUUAAGUCAGAUGUGAAAGCCCGGGGCUCAACCUCGGAAGUGCAUUUGAAACUAAGAAACUUGAGUAUGGGAGAGGGAAGUGGAAUUCCUGGUGUAGAGGUGAAAUUCGUAGAUAUCAGGAGGAACACCGGUGGCGAAGGCGACUUCCUGGACCAAUACUGACGCUGAGGCGCGAAGGCGUGGGGAGCAAACAGGAUUAGAUACCCUUNUANUC